CAGUAGCCCGGGAAUACAGAGGGUGCGAGCGUUAAUAGGAUUUACUGGGCGUAAAGCGUGCGUAGGCGGCUUCUUAAGUCGGAUGUGAAAUCCCUGAGCUUAACUUAGGAAUUGCAUUCGAUACUGGGAAGCUAGAGUAUGGGAGAGGAUGGUAGAAUUCCAGGUGUAGCGGUGAAAUGCGUAGAGAUCUGGAGGAAUACCGAUGGCGAAGGCAGCCAUCUGGCCUAAUACUGACGCUGAGGUACGAAAGCAUGGGGAGCAAACAGGAUUAGAUACCCCGUAGUCCCUGUCUCUUAUACAU
RNAcentral lists this ribosomal RNA (301 nucleotides) under uncultured bacterium. RNAcentral describes it as "partial 16S ribosomal RNA". It matches the Rfam family "Bacterial small subunit ribosomal RNA", at positions 509 to 810 of the family's 1533-position model. The record is from RNAcentral.